Molecule: small RNA, 769 nt
Filed under: Pongo abelii (Sumatran orangutan)
Lineage: Eukaryota; Metazoa; Chordata; Mammalia; Primates; Hominidae
Description: retained intron
Source: RNAcentral
CCGGCCCCUCGUGCCCCAGGAAGAGCAGCGGGCAGCACCAGAACGACAAAGACAAGAACGUCCGCCAGAGGAACUCCUCCUGAGCCAGGUGGCCCGAGGACGCUCCCUGCUCCGUGUCUGCGCCGCCGCCGGAGUCCACUCCCAGUGAUUGCAAGAUUCCAAGUUCUCGCCUCUUAAAGAAAACCCACCCCGUAGAUUCCCAUCACACGCUUUCUUCUUUUUUAAAAAAGUUGGGUUUUCUCCAUUCAGGAUUCUGUUCCUUAGGUUUUUUCCUUCUGAAGUGUUUCACGAGAGCCCGGGAGCUGCUGCACCGCGGCCCCGUCCGUGGUUUUCAGCCUCUGGGUCUGAGUCAUGGCAGGGCGGGCGGUGCAGCCUUCUCCACUGGCCGGAGUCAGUGCCAGGUCCCUGCCCUUUGCGGAAGGUCACAGGUCACAUGAGGGGCCCCGCGUCCUGCCUGUCUGAAGCCAAUGCUGUCUGGUUGCGCUAUUUUUGCGCUUUUAUGUUUAAUUUUAUGAAGGCCACAGGUCUGUGUUUGACUCAGCCUCAGGGACGACUUUGACCUCUUGGCCACAGAGGACUCACCUGCCCACACCGAGGGCGACCCCGUCACGGCCUCAAGUAACUCCCAAGCCUCCUUCUUGUCUGUGCAUCCGGGGGCAGCUCUGGAGGGGGUUUGCUGGGGAACUGGCGCCGCCUCCGGGACUCCAGAACCGCAGAAGCCCUCCCCAGCUCACCCCUGGAGGAUGGCUGGCUCUCCACAGCACCAGGG